Molecule: ribosomal RNA, 381 nt
Filed under: uncultured eukaryote
Lineage: Eukaryota
Description: partial 18S ribosomal RNA
Rfam family: Eukaryotic small subunit ribosomal RNA
Source: RNAcentral
CAAUAGCGUAUAUUAAAGCUGUUGCGGUUAAAAAGCUCGUAGUUGGAUUUCUGUCAAGGACAACUGGUCCGCCCUCCGGGUGAGCACAUAGUUUGGUCUUGGCAUCUUGCUGGAAGCUGUUGCUGCACUUGGCUGUGUGGCGCAGCGUCCAGCACUUUCACUUUGAGGAAAUUGGAGUGUUUCAAGCAGGCACAUGCCUUUGGACACAGUAGCAUGGAAUAAUUAGAUUGGGCUUUUGCUCCAAUUUGUCGGUUUCUGGAGCUGAGGUGAGAAUUAAUGGGGAUUGUUGGGGGCAUCCGAAUUUAGCCGUCAGAGGUGAAAUUCUUGGAUUUGUUAAAGACGGACUACUGCGAAAGCAUUUGCCAAGGAUGUUUUCAUUGA